This 208-nucleotide small nuclear RNA is filed under the name Fusarium vanettenii 77-13-4. Its description in RNAcentral is "U2 spliceosomal RNA". It matches the Rfam family "U2 spliceosomal RNA". From Rfam's summary of the family: U2 is a small nuclear RNA (snRNA) component of the spliceosome (involved in pre-mRNA splicing). Complementary binding between U2 snRNA (in an area lying towards the 5' end but 3' to hairpin I) and the branchpoint sequence (BPS) of the intron results the bulging out of an unpaired adenosine, on the BPS, which initiates a nucleophilic attack at the intronic 5' splice site, thus starting the first of two transesterification reactions that mediate splicing. Lineage: Eukaryota; Fungi; Ascomycota; Sordariomycetes; Hypocreales; Nectriaceae. The record is from Rfam by way of RNAcentral.
UCAGCUUCCUUUGCCAUAUGGCUUAGAUCAAGUGUAGUAUCUGUUCUUGCACAGGUUAACCCCUGGCAUGGGUUUCAACGCCCUUCCAAACAAGUUGACUUUAAUUUUUUGCUUUCGGAGUUAAAGCUCUUGGUUACGCUUGCGUAGCCCGGGGGCCCGCUCCAGAGUGUCCUUGGUAUCACACUGCCUCCAAGUGACGCGAAGUUUC